This 571-nucleotide long non-coding RNA is filed under the name Homo sapiens (human). RNAcentral's name for it is "non-protein coding lnc-MVP-3:21". Lineage: Eukaryota; Metazoa; Chordata; Mammalia; Primates; Hominidae. The record is from RNAcentral.
GUCAAGUCGGCUGCCUCGGCUUGGGAAGGGGGAUGGCGUCCACUCCGAUGGGGAAUGAGGGGGAGAAGAAGAGCAGCUGGCCAUCUCAAGCUGCACCCUCCUUGAGAGGAGGUCCGGCUUCGUUAUCUCGUUCUGAGGAAUACCUGUCCCAGAUCAGUGCAGAACUCAUGGAGGAGGCUUUGUGCACUGCUUGCUGCCACUUGAACCCUGUGCCCAUCAAAAAAAAGCAGUCACAAGACCAAGCGACUCAGAUAUCCAAACGCGCAUUCUUCACCAAGACCUGAGGCACAGACACCUGCCCUCUCCCCUCUCUUCCACCAUCUCCUGCUCGGACAGAAACCGUACCUGCAGCAAGGCAUACCUCCUGCCAACUCCUGGUGAAAAGAACAUGCCUCAAAACUACUCUUUUGCCACUCGUUAACCACUUCCGUUUGUGGGGACCUCCUGGUCAUGAGCAGCAUCAUCCCGAAGCCUUCAAAGUGUUCUGGAUUCAUCACAGGACCCUCCAGCCUCAGCCAGCAAGGAUACCACCAGGAAUGAAAGUGCUUUAAUAAAGAGACAGGGUGUGCAU